RNAcentral lists this ribosomal RNA (839 nucleotides) under Colletotrichum kniphofiae. Its description in RNAcentral is "partial 28S ribosomal RNA". It matches the Rfam family "Eukaryotic large subunit ribosomal RNA", at positions 68 to 938 of the family's 3401-position model. The record is from RNAcentral. Lineage: Eukaryota; Fungi; Ascomycota; Sordariomycetes; Glomerellales; Glomerellaceae.
ACAGGGAUUGCCCCAGUAACGGCGAGUGAAGCGGCAACAGCUCAAAUUUGAAAUCUGGCCCCAGGCCCGAGUUGUAAUUUGCAGAGGAUGCUUUUGGCGCGGUGCCUUCCGAGUUCCCUGGAACGGGACGCCAUAGAGGGUGAGAGCCCCGUACGGUUGGACACCAAGCCUUUGUAAAGCUCCUUCGACGAGUCGAGUAGUUUGGGAAUGCUGCUCUAAAUGGGAGGUACAUUUCUUCUAAAGCUAAAUAUUGGCCAGAGACCGAUAGCGCACAAGUAGAGUGAUCGAAAGAUGAAAAGCACUUUGAAAAGAGGGUUAAACAGCACGUGAAAUUGUUAAAAGGGAAGCGCUUGUGACCAGACUUGCGUCCGGUGAAUCACCCAGCUCUCGCGGCUGGGGCACUUCGCCGGCACAGGCCAGCAUCAGCUUGCCGUCGGGGACAAAAGCUUCAGGAACGUAGCUCCUCUCGGGGAGUGUUAUAACCUGUUGCAUAAUACCCUUCGGCGGGCUGAGGUACGCGCUCCGCAAGGAUGCUGGCGUAAUGGUCAUCAGCGACCCGUCUUGAAACACGGACCAAGGAGUCAACCUUAUGUGCGAGUGUUUGGGUGUUAAACCCCUACGCGUAAUGAAAGUGAACGCAGGUGAGAGCUUCGGCGCAUCAUCGACCGAUCCUGAUGUUCUCGGAUGGAUUUGAGUAAGAGCAUAUAGGGUUGGACCCGAAAGAAGGUGAACUAUGCGUGUGUAGGGUGAAGCCAGAGGAAACUCUGGUGGAGGCUCGCAGCGGUUCUGACGUGCAAAUCGAUCGUCAAACAUGCGCAUGGGGGCGAAAGACUAAUCGA